Molecule: ribosomal RNA, 252 nt
Filed under: uncultured bacterium
Lineage: Bacteria
Description: partial 16S ribosomal RNA
Rfam family: Bacterial small subunit ribosomal RNA
Source: RNAcentral
UACGUAGGGGGCAAGCGUUAUCCGGAAUUACUGGGUGUAAAGGGAGCGUAGACGGUAAUGUAAGUCUGGUGUAAAAGGCAGUGGCUCAACCAUUGUAUGCAUUGGAAACUGGUAGACUUGAGUGCAGGAGAGGAGAGUGGAAUUCCAUGUGUAGCGGUGAAAUGCGUAGAUAUAUGGAGGAACACCGGUGGCGAAAGCGGCUCUCUGGCCUGUAACUGACACUGAGGCUCGAAAGCGUGGGGAGCAAACAGG